This 295-nucleotide unclassified non-coding RNA is filed under the name Hevea brasiliensis (rubber tree). The record is from RNAcentral. Lineage: Eukaryota; Viridiplantae; Streptophyta; Magnoliopsida; Malpighiales; Euphorbiaceae.
GAGCAAGCUUUUGGGUCAAGUUACAAUUGCUAAUGGAGGUGUCUUGCCUAACAUUCACCAGAAUCUGUUGCCUAGAAAGGCUGGCUCAGGCAAGGGCGAUAUUGGUUCUGCAUCUCAAGAGUUCUAGAACAAAUGAACUCCCUAGUUUUGAAAUCGAUCUGAAGUGAACAAUUCAUAGCUUUGUAAUAUAGAAUUGGCUCUUGUUUUGAUAGUUUUGAAUUCAAUGGUGCUGUCGACUUUCUGUUUGAUUUACAACUUGGAAAGUUUUUGUGAUGCGAAUGGAAUUACAUCUUUU